CAUCUGGGCAGGCACAAGUGCUAAAAAUCUGCAAAGUCAUAGUGUGGGAUGAAUGUACUAUGGCUCAUAAGAAAUCCCUUGAAGCCCUUGACAGAACUCUACAAGAUCUCAGAGAAAACAAUGAACUGAUGGGAGGAGCUCUGGUCCUUUUAACUGGUGACUUUCGUCAAACGCUUCCCGUCAUUCCAAAGUCGACGCCGGCAGAUGAGCUUAAUGCUUGCCUCAAGGCUUCCGUUCUUUGGAGACAUGUGAAGAAAAUGACAUUGCAAACUAAUCUGAGGGUCCAACUUCAAGGAGAUGCAAAUGCACAACCUUUUGCAGAGAAGCUCCUUCAAAUCGGUGAAGGUACUUUUCCCACUGAUUUGACCUUAGGUGAAAUCCACUUUCCACAUGACUUCUGUACGAUUGUGACAUCAGUUGGUGAACUUACAGAUAAGGUUUAUCCAAACAUUUCUGAAAAUUUCAAACAACACUCCUGGUUGUGUGAAAGAGCCAUCCUCGCGGCUAAGAAUGAUGCGGUCAAUGAAAUCAACAAGCACGUUCAAGACAUGAUUCCAGGGUCCAUGACAGAAUACAAAUCCAUCGAUACAGUAGUGGAUGCUGAUGAAGCUGUGAAUUAUCCAACCGAGUUCCUCAACUCCCUUAAUCCACCUGGGAUGCCAUCUCACCGCCUGCCACUUAAAGUAGGAUCGCCCAUCAUGCUGCUUCGAAACCUCGAACCACCAAGGUUAUGCAAUGGCACCCGGCUGUGCAUCAAAACACUGCUGCCCAACGUCAUAGAAGCCACAAUACUGACUGGGAAGGGGCAGGGUGAGGAUGUGUUCAUCCCUCGCAUUCCCCUGAUCCCAUCCGAUUUGCCCUUUCGUUUUAAGAGACUGCAGUUCCCCGUGAGGCUGGCAUUCGGAAUCACCAUCAACAAGGCACAGGGCCAGUCAAUCAAAUACUGUGGGAUUAACUUGCAGUCACCGUGCUUUUCCCAUGGACAGUUAUAUGUGGCAUGUUCUAGAGUAGGUUCCCCAAAUAAUUUGUUUGUUUAUG
Molecule: long non-coding RNA, 1038 nt
Filed under: Anolis carolinensis (green anole)
Lineage: Eukaryota; Metazoa; Chordata; Lepidosauria; Squamata; Anolidae
Description: lncRNA (ENSACAG00000034788.1)
Source: RNAcentral